Molecule: ribosomal RNA, 468 nt
Filed under: uncultured bacterium
Lineage: Bacteria
Description: partial 16S ribosomal RNA
Rfam family: Bacterial small subunit ribosomal RNA
Source: RNAcentral
GACGAACGCUGGCGGCGUGCUUAACACAUGCAAGUCGAACGGAAAGGCCCUGCUUUUGUGGGGUGCUCGAGUGGCGAACGGGUGAGUAACACGUGAGUAACCUGCCCUUGACUUUGGGAUAACUUCAGGAAACUGGGGCUAAUACCGGAUAGGAGCUCCUGCUGCAUGGUGGGGGUUGGAAAGUUUCGGCGGUUGGGGAUGGACUCGCGGCUUAUCAGCUUGUUGGUGGGGUAGUGGCUUACCAAGGCUUUGACGGGUAGCCGGCCUGAGAGGGUGACCGGCCACAUUGGGACUGAGAGACGGCGCAGACUCGUACGGGAGGCAGCAGUGGGGAAUAUUGCACAAUGGGCGGAAGCCUGAUGCAGCAACGCCGCGUGCGGGAUGACGGCCUUCGGGUUGUAAACCGCUUUCGCCUGUGACGAAGCGUGAGUGACGGUAAUGGGUAAAGAAGCACCGGCUAACUACGUG